RNAcentral lists this transfer RNA (85 nucleotides) under Felis catus (domestic cat). It matches the Rfam family "tRNA". From Rfam's summary of the family: Transfer RNA (tRNA) molecules are approximately 80 nucleotides in length. Their secondary structure includes four short double-helical elements and three loops (D, anti-codon, and T loops). Further hydrogen bonds mediate the characteristic L-shaped molecular structure. tRNAs have two regions of fundamental functional importance: the anti-codon, which is responsible for specific mRNA codon recognition, and the 3' end, to which the tRNAs corresponding amino acid is attached (by aminoacyl-tRNA synthetases). tRNAs cope with the degeneracy of the genetic code in two manners: having more than one tRNA (with a specific anti-codon) for a particular amino acid; and 'wobble' base-pairing, i.e. permitting non-standard base-pairing at the 3rd anti-codon position. Lineage: Eukaryota; Metazoa; Chordata; Mammalia; Carnivora; Felidae. RNAcentral also lists the same sequence under 4 other names. The record is from Rfam by way of RNAcentral.
GCCUGGGUGGCUCAGUUGGUUGGGUGUCUGACUUCAGCUCAGGUCAUGAUCUCAUGGUUCAUGGGUUCAAGCCCCGUGUCGGGCU